RNAcentral lists this ribosomal RNA (291 nucleotides) under uncultured bacterium. RNAcentral's name for it is "partial 16S ribosomal RNA". It matches the Rfam family "Archaeal small subunit ribosomal RNA", at positions 456 to 747 of the family's 1478-position model. The record is from RNAcentral.
UGCCAGCGCCGCGGUACUACCGGCAGCCCGAGUGAUGGCCGAUCUUAUUGGGCCUAAAGCGUCCGUAGCUGGCCGCGCAAGUCCGUCGGGAAAUCCACCUGCCCAACAGGUGGGCGUCCGGCGGAAACUGUGUGGCUUGGAACCGGAAGGCUCAGAGGGUACGUCCGGGGUAGGAGUGAAAUCCCGUAAUCCCGGACGGACCACCGAUGGCGAAAGCACUCUGAGAAGACGGCUUCGACAGUGAGGGACGAAAGCUAGGGUCUCAAACCGGAUUAGAUACCCCUGUAGUCC